GAGCUCAGAGAUUGACGUGUGGAUUUACAGUACAGUCGUGUGGUGGGAGUGAACGAGUGAACAUAUUAGCCUUUCACUCCUAACCACCAGAAAAGGCUUGAGUCAACGAGUGAAAAUAUUUUACCUUUCACUCUCAGCCACCGGAACAACGGGUGUAAUAAAGUGUAAGAGUGACGAAGUAGUUUCUCUCAACCGCCAAAGGAGUUCUGAGAGUGAAAAGAGUAAAGGUUUCUGAGAGUGAAAUGAGUUCUGAAAGUGAAUAAGGAUUUAAAGGGCUCCAGUAACACGAAAAGGAACAAAAAGUAACAAUAUAGGCGAAAUAAUUUAAGUAACACCAACAGGAGUAAAAAUAACAAUGGAAUAAGUAACUACGUAGCAAUACUAACGGGUGAUGCAAGUAACAAGGACGACAGUGGCAGUAGCAAGAGGGCCAAGCAGGAAAACAUGGGAGAGUGGUGCCAUGUUGUGUGGUUGGCACUCAUGAUGGUGUUGAUAUGGUGGGUGAAGCUCAGUGACGGCGGAUGGAGCUCUAACAACUACCCUUCGGAGGCAGUGAAGGGAGAGGACUCUGUGGUGGUCUAUACUACAGGUCCCCUAGGAGAGGAUGGGGAUCAAAAGACUGAGCAGCAUUAUACCCCGAGGUCCUCAUACCCCAUGUGUCGUAUGGGUUUCCGCAUCAGGGACUACUACCCGACGCAGGACAGCUACUACCAGAACCAGACGUGUUUCUGGUGCUACCACUUCGUUCCCGCCCACAGGAGAAGCCACAACCUGCAGAUCGUGCGAGAGGUGAUUACCCUCGAUGACAACAAGCCCAAACACCUGUAUGACUACAUGUUUAAGGCCGAGAACGAGACUUACCACUUCAACCCUGACUCAGAGGCGUGGGAGUACGUGGUGGAGUCCAUGUUGGAUGUACUGGAGGCCCACAAGGUAGAGGAAUGCUGCAGGGAUGCCAUGACCUGCUGCCAACAAGCACUGGAUGAUCUUCCAGGUGACCCGGGGGACUGUCCGCGUACCUGGGACGGUUGGACCUGCUUCUCUGACACACCUCCUGGGAGCACUGUCACCUUCACCUGUCCACACAUCGGCUACAAGGGCUACCCAGAGUGUGCAAUGGAGGGGAGGAAAGAGUGCUGGGAGAACGGCACCUGGGCAAUAGACAGCUAUGGCGUAGAGCUCACCGACUACUCCUCCUGCAGCCACAAGCAGUACCACCUGACGAACUACUACUGGGAGGCCUCCAUGCAUGUCCUCUCCAUCUUAACUCUCCUACCUGCCAUCUUCCUCAUCCUCUUCUACAGACAGCUACGUAUUCAGAGGAUGUAUCUACACCUUAAUUUCUUCUUUGCCCUCCUCGGUAAAGCCUUCUUCAACCUCCUCGAUGCACUUGUCCUCAGGGUACCCGAAUAUACUGGGACCAACACCCUAGUGGAUGACAACACAGGGGGGUGUAAGUUGUUGGUGUUCCUGGCCAAGAUGUUCGGCCUGGCUGUGUGGACCUGGAUGUUAGCCGAGAGCAUAUAUCUUCACCGUCUCAUCGUCGCCGCCUUCAAGGGUGGGGGCAAGACUUACGUUUAUCUCAUUAUUGGUUGGGUACCGGCGGUGGUGCUGAGUGUGGUGUGGGCCGUGUGCCGUGCGGUGCUGGAGGACUACCAGUGUUGGCUGGGGGAUGAUGCCAACAAUGCCACCAACCUUUUCCUCAUCACAGAGCUACCCAAGAUGUUCAUAAUUAUUGUGAACACUGUCCUGCUAGCUAACACAACCCGGGUCCUCCUCACCAAGCUCAGGGGCGUCAACAACGACAACUCCACCGCCACCAGGACUGCAGUCAAGGCCACGGCAUUCCUGCUCCCCAUGUUUGGUCUACAGUUCUUUAUCACCUUCUACAUCCCAUCAGAGUCCCACACCUGUACCACCAUGCAGGUGUACAUGUUCAUAGCGAUGGGUCUUGAUGGGCUCCAGGGCUUCUAUGUGGCCAUUGUCUACUGCUUCCUCAACAAGGAGGUGAAGCUACAGGUGCGUCGAUCAGUGUACCACUUACGAGGUCGCAUGGCCACAGAGAUGGGCACUGCGACAUAUGACCCACGCACAGAUGUCAGUCUCCUGCAUAGUGGAGCUGUCAACUCUGUUGCCACCACUGCCUCUGUUGUUGACUGAUGAUGUCACAGCUGGCACUACUGAUAUCCUUUGAGUGAUUGCUGAAGACCUUUCUGCUGCUGAUGUUUUGUAUUUAUUAAUGACAUAUGACCACCAUCAACUGAUGAGUUAUUAAUGACAUUCAGUGGGUAAUUAAGGACAUGUCUUGACUUACUGAUGGGCCAGGUGAUGACCACAGUGACCUCUCCUGUCUUUUCUUUCAUCUGUAGAUACAUGUAAACGUUCUCUGAUUAAUCUUUGCUGACACUUACUGACAUCCUCUGGUGAAUAAUGACACACAAAGUCUUUGCUGACUAUGUCUUCAGAUACUUGCUAACAUCCUUUCAUUAUUGCUGACACACGGGCAUUUACUGACACCUGGUGACUUAAGAUGGUACACUCUUGUGAGAAGUACCUUAGAGAAACACCACUAGUGGACUAAGAAUGACAGCCUUUGUGUUUAUGUAGUUAGAAGCCAACAGACUUUAUAAUGGUCUACUGAUAGGUCACACAUGACAUGUUAGAAUUCUAUAGUAAACAGAAAGAUGUUCUCUCUCUCUCUUUCUCUCUCUCAGCUUUUAGGUCAGGGCUCAUUGUUGUGCCUGUGAUGAGUCUAGUGUUUGGUCUUCCUAUCAAGCAAGGAGUGUGUACAUGUGAACAAGAAGUUAGGCUUCAUACAAGAACCCUCCUACAGUAUUUUAAGUUGGCCGAUACCUCAGAAAGUAACAAGUUAGGGGAAGGAAGCCAGGGGUUCCUUUAACCCCCAUAUUGUUCCUAAGGAGAUCUUUCAUGAGUCUGGUAUUGGCAAAAGAGGAAACCAGAGCACCCUAAGAAAACCUGUAAUGCUCAGAAGGGUCAGACUGAACAACAACACCCUUCCCACACCCUGGCCACAAUAGUGAGAGACUGUGUGAACGUCGUAAUGAUGAGCUGAUCUUGAGACCAGCACCAAGACAUUGAGGAGAAAACGGAAGGAUAGGCGACUUGCGCUUGGGUAUGGAUGGCGGUGUAUUGCUGCUGUUGACAUAGACCACAG
This 3175-nucleotide unclassified non-coding RNA is filed under the name Homarus americanus (American lobster). RNAcentral's name for it is "corticotropin-releasing factor receptor 1-like, transcript variant X3". Lineage: Eukaryota; Metazoa; Arthropoda; Malacostraca; Decapoda; Nephropidae. The record is from RNAcentral.